AGAGUUUGAUCCUGGCUCAGGACGAACGCUGGCGGCGUGCUUAACACAUGCAAGUCGAACGGAAAGGCCCCUUCGGGGGUACUCGAGUGGCGAACGGGUGAGUAACACGUGGGUGAUCUGCCCUGCACUUUGGGAUAAGCCUGGGAAACUGGGUCUAAUACCGAAUAGGACCGCAUGCUUCAUGGUGUGUGGUGGAAAGCUUUUGCGGUGUGGGAUGGGCCCGCGGCCUAUCAGCUUGUUGGUGGGGUAAUGGCCUACCAAGGCGACGACGGGUAGCCGGCCUGAGAGGGUGUCCGGCCACACUGGGACUGAGAUACGGCCCAGACUCCUACGGGAGGCAGCAGUGGGGAAUAUUGCACAAUGGGCGCAAGCCUGAUGCAGCGACGCCGCGUGGGGGAUGACGGCCUUCGGGUUGUAAACCUCUUUCAGUAUCGGCGAAGCUCCAGGAUUUUUCUUGGGGUGACGGUAGGUACAGAAGAAGCACCGGCCAACUACGUGCCAGCAGCCGCGGUAAUACGUAGGGUGCGAGCGUUGUCCGGAAUUACUGGGCGUAAAGAGCUCGUAGGUGGUUUGUCACGUUGUCCGUGAAAACUCACAGCUUAACUGUGGGCGUGCGGGCGAUACGGGCAGACUGGAGUACUGUAGGGGAGACUGGAAUUCCUGGUGUAGCGGUGGAAUGCGCAGAUAUCAGGAGGAACACCGGUGGCGAAGGCGGGUCUCUGGGCAGUAACUGACGCUGAGGAGCGAAAGCGUGGGGAGCGAACAGGAUUAGAUACCCCGGUAGUCCAA
This 789-nucleotide ribosomal RNA is filed under the name uncultured bacterium. Its description in RNAcentral is "bacterial SSU rRNA". It matches the Rfam family "Bacterial small subunit ribosomal RNA", at positions 8 to 798 of the family's 1533-position model. The record is from RNAcentral.